UGAUUAGAUACCCCUGUAGUCCCAGCUGUAAACGAUGCAGACUAGGUGUUUGGACGGCCACGUGCCGUUCUAGUGCCGCAGGGAAGCUGUUAAGUCUGCCGCCUGGGGAGUACGAUCGCAAAAUUGAAACUUAAAGGAAUUGGCGGGGGAGCACCACAAGGGGUGAAGCUUGCGGUUUAAUUGGAGUCAACGCCGGAAAUCUCACCGGGAGCGACAGCAGUGUGAAGGCCAGAUUAAAGGUCUUGCCAGACGAGCUGAGAGGAGGUGCAUGGCA
RNAcentral lists this ribosomal RNA (274 nucleotides) under Thermofilum carboxyditrophus. RNAcentral describes it as "partial 16S ribosomal RNA". It matches the Rfam family "Archaeal small subunit ribosomal RNA", at positions 726 to 999 of the family's 1478-position model. Lineage: Archaea; Thermoproteati; Thermoproteota; Thermoprotei; Thermofilales; Thermofilaceae. The record is from RNAcentral.